GUGCAUUCUGGGGCUGCUUUGGCUUUUGGUUGCUUGCUUGGCCUUCGGCUUGGCGGGUGGCUACUAGCUGUUGCGGCUUCGGGGAUGUCUACCGUAAAGGUGCAUGAGUGGUGUUUGGUUUGUCACGGGUGGUUGGAUGACUGCUUGCGCAGCGACUUCCACGCGGGCAUGCCUCUUCAGUUGUGCGGCCAAAGCUUGUAUCGCCUUGGUCGUGUUGUUGGUUUCCUGUGUUGUGUACCCAAUGCACGGCAUCGUUUGGUUGGAUCGAAGUUUGUUUUCGUCUCGCGUUGCUCCUGUGGCGUGGGAUGAACCUCGAAGCGGUCUCAUUGAUCCACACUGUCGAUGAACGUGCGUCGAUGGUGUGGCCCAUUGGGCAUUGCUUGGACUCUUGGAUAUGGAACCUGAUGUGGGCAUGGGGUCUCAAACGACCCUUGUUUUGCCCUCGUUGAGCGUUCUUGCUUCUCUAAACGACUGCCGGCUAGGAAAUUGGCUCGUUACCAGCCUGGCCGGCUAUGUCGAAGAGGAAUGCUACCUGGUUGAUCCUGCCAGUAGUCAUAUGCUUGUCUCAAAGAUUAAGCCAU
RNAcentral lists this unclassified non-coding RNA (581 nucleotides) under Oedera glandulosa. RNAcentral describes it as "Rosenia glandulosa partial external transcribed spacer". The stretch from base 530 to 581 matches the Rfam family "Eukaryotic small subunit ribosomal RNA", at positions 1 to 52 of the family's 1831-position model. The record is from RNAcentral. Lineage: Eukaryota; Viridiplantae; Streptophyta; Magnoliopsida; Asterales; Asteraceae.